CCCCGGUUAGCUCAGCCGGUAGAGCGUUGGACUUUUAAUCCAACGAUCAAGGCUUGAAGUACAUUAUUGGGCU
Non-coding RNA from Ciona savignyi (Pacific transparent sea squirt), 73 nucleotides. Lineage: Eukaryota; Metazoa; Chordata; Ascidiacea; Phlebobranchia; Cionidae. The record is from Rfam.